GGCUGACGAGUGGCGGACGGGUGAGUAAUGCAUAGGAAUCUGCCCAGUAGCGGGGGACAACUUGGUGAAAACCAAGCUAAUACCGCAUACGCCCUACGGGGGAAAGCGGGGGACCUUCGGACCGGUCACUAUUGGAGGAGCCUGCGUAGGAUUAGCUAGUUGGUGAGGUAAAGGCUCACCAAGGCGACGAUCCUUAGCUGGUCUGAGAGGACGAUCAGCCACACUGGAACUGAGACACGGUCCAGACUCC
This 250-nucleotide ribosomal RNA is filed under the name uncultured bacterium. RNAcentral describes it as "partial 16S ribosomal RNA". It matches the Rfam family "Bacterial small subunit ribosomal RNA", at positions 86 to 339 of the family's 1533-position model. The record is from RNAcentral.